UGAAAUUAGCGCUGUGGAACCACCCGAUCCCAUCCCGAACUCGGAAGUGAAACGCAGCUGCGCCGAUGGUAGUGUGGCUCAAGCCAUGCGAGAGUAGGUCAUCGCCAGGG
This 110-nucleotide ribosomal RNA is filed under the name Xanthomonas campestris pv. campestris. Lineage: Bacteria; Pseudomonadati; Pseudomonadota; Gammaproteobacteria; Lysobacterales; Lysobacteraceae. The record is from RNAcentral. RNAcentral also lists the same sequence under 2 other names.